This 1325-nucleotide ribosomal RNA is filed under the name Enterobacter roggenkampii. RNAcentral's name for it is "partial 23S ribosomal RNA". It matches the Rfam family "Bacterial large subunit ribosomal RNA", at positions 588 to 1896 of the family's 2925-position model. Lineage: Bacteria; Pseudomonadati; Pseudomonadota; Gammaproteobacteria; Enterobacterales; Enterobacteriaceae. The record is from RNAcentral.
GUGGUGUGACUGCGUACCUUUUGUAUAAUGGGUCAGCGACUUAUAUUCUGUAGCAAGGUUAACCGUAUAGGGGAGCCGAAGGGAAACCGAGUCUUAACUGGGCGUUAAGUUGCAGGGUAUAGACCCGAAACCCGGUGAUCUAGCCAUGGGCAGGUUGAAGGUUGGGUAACACUAACUGGAGGACCGAACCGACUAAUGUUGAAAAAUUAGCGGAUGACUUGUGGCUGGGGGUGAAAGGCCAAUCAAACCGGGAGAUAGCUGGUUCUCCCCGAAAGCUAUUUAGGUAGCGCCUCGUGAACUCAUCUUCGGGGGUAGAGCACUGUUUCGGCUAGGGGGCCAUCCCGGCUUACCAACCCGAUGCAAACUACGAAUACCGAAGAAUGUUAUCACGGGAGACACACGGCGGGUGCUAACGUCCGUCGUGAAGAGGGAAACAACCCAGACCGCCAGCUAAGGUCCCAAAGUCAUGGUUAAGUGGGAAACGAUGUGGGAAGGCACAGACAGCCAGGAUGUUGGCUUAGAAGCAGCCAUCAUUUAAAGAAAGCGUAAUAGCUCACUGGUCGAGUCGGCCUGCGCGGAAGAUGUAACGGGGCUAAACCAUGCACCGAAGCUGCGGCAGCGACGCUUAUGCGUUGUUGGGUAGGGGAGCGUUCUGUAAGCCGUUGAAGGUGUGCUGUGAGGCAUGCUGGAGGUAUCAGAAGUGCGAAUGCUGACAUAAGUAACGAUAAAGCGGGUGAAAAGCCCGCUCGCCGGAAGACCAAGGGUUCCUGUCCAACGUUAAUCGGGGCAGGGUGAGUCGACCCCUAAGGCGAGGCCGAAAGGCGUAGUCGAUGGGAAACAGGUUAAUAUUCCUGUACUUGGUGUUACUGCGAAGGGGGGACGGAGAAGGCUAUGUUAGCCGGGCGACGGUUGUCCCGGUUUAAGCAUGUAGGCGGAACGAUUAGGUAAAUCCGGUCGUUUUUUAACGCUGAGGUGUGAUGACGAGGCACUACGGUGCUGAAGUAACAAAUGCCCUGCUUCCAGGAAAAGCCUCUAAGCAUCAGGUAACAUCAAAUCGUACCCCAAACCGACACAGGUGGUCAGGUAGAGAAUACCAAGGCGCUUGAGAGAACUCGGGUGAAGGAACUAGGCAAAAUGGUGCCGUAACUUCGGGAGAAGGCACGCUGAUAUGUAGGUGAAGCCCCUGCGGGUGGAGCUGAAAUCAGUCGAAGAUACCAGCUGGCUGCAACUGUUUAUUAAAAACACAGCACUGUGCAAACACGAAAGUGGACGUAUACGGUGUGACGCCUGCCCGGUGCCGGAAGGUUAAUUGAUGGGGUUAGCGG